CUAACUUGUCCCUUAUUCAGCAAGAAUUACAAAGAAGAGAAUUUUUUACAUGGUUUUUCCAGGGUCCUUCUGUCUGCUUUUCUCCUUCCAUGACCUCUUGCCUUUGUAUCUUCGUAUCUCUGCUAUUUUCUGAUGUUUCCCAGGGUCUUAGAAGAGUGCUGAGUAGGUGCUGAAGUAUGCAGAGAGGAUAAGGCUGCCUGAUGAAGGUACUUCCCCAACA
This 220-nucleotide long non-coding RNA is filed under the name Fukomys damarensis (Damara mole-rat). RNAcentral describes it as "lncRNA (ENSFDAG00000023506.1)". The record is from RNAcentral. Lineage: Eukaryota; Metazoa; Chordata; Mammalia; Rodentia; Bathyergidae.